Long non-coding RNA from Eriocheir sinensis (Chinese mitten crab), 4177 nucleotides. RefSeq lists it as uncharacterized. The transcript is spliced from 2 exons. The record is from RefSeq and is a predicted model, not a curated record. Lineage: Eukaryota; Metazoa; Arthropoda; Malacostraca; Decapoda; Varunidae.
UAUUUGACAAGGCUUUCGUAGGAGUUGUGGGCAUUUCCAGGGGUAGUUUCAUGACCCUGGUGGUAGUUUGACCCUUCCUCUGUACCGUGAACCUGAAGAAACACCUAUUUGACAAGGCUUUCGUAGGAGUUGUGGGCAUUUCCAGAAGUAGUUUCAUGACCCUGGUGGUAGUGUGACCCUUCCUCUGUACCAUGAACCUGAAGAAACACCUAUUUGACAAGGCUUUCGUAGGAGUUGUGGGCGUUUCCAGGGGUAGUUUCAUGACCCUGGUGGUAGUUUGACCCUUCCUCUGUAUCAUGAACCUGAAGAAACACCUAUUUGACAAGGCUUUCGUAGGAGUUGUGGGCAUUUCCAGGAGUAGUUUCAUGACCCUAGAUGACAAUGUGUGUGUGGGCGGGAAGGGGGGAGUAGAAGGAGCUCUCUUAAGGAUUCCCGAUAUAUCACAUGAGAUAGAUCCUCCUUUCAAAAAUUUUAUACGAGAGAUUUAAUUCAUGCUUACAAGUUAUCAUUCAAUCGAUUACAUACGGAUUCAAGAUGCUGAUUAAUUAACUCUUGCAUAAGGGGUUUGGACAGUAUAGGGAUGAAAGAGUGAAGAUGCUGGUUAACUCUUGCAUAAGGGGUUUGGACAGUAUAGGGAUGAAAGAGUGAAGAUGCUGGUUAACUCUUGCAUAAGGGGUUUGGACAGUAUAGGGAUGAAAGAGUGGAGAUGCUGGUUAACUCUUGCAUAAGGGGUUUGGACAGUAUAGGGAUGAAAGAGUGAAGAUGCUGGUUAACUCUUGCAUAUGGGUUUGGACAGUAUAGGGAUGAAAGAGUGAAGAUGCUGGUUAACUCUUGCAUAAGGGGUUUGGACAGUAUAGGGAUGAAAGAGUGAAGAUGCUGGUUAACUCUUGCAUAAGGGGUUUGGACAGUAUAGGGAUGAAAGAGUGAAGAUGCUGGUUAACUCUUGCAUAAGGGGUUUGGACAGUAUAGGGAUGAAAGAGUGGAGAUGCUGGUUAACUCUUGCAUAAGGGGUUUGGACAGUAUAGGGAUGAAAGAGUGAAGAUGCUGGUUAACUCUUGCAUAAGGGGUUUGGACAGUAUAGGGAUGAAAGAGUGAAGAUGCUGGUUAACUCUUGCAUAAGGGGUUUGGACAGUAUAGGGAUGAAAGAGUGAAGAUGCUGGUUAACUCUUGCAUAAGGGGUUUGGACAGUAUAGGGAUGAAAGAGUGAAGAUGCUGGUUAACUCUUGCAUAAGGGGUUUCAGCAACCUGUACUGCCUUGCAACUUAAAUUUUAAUUAUUCUUGACUCCUGUAUUUCUUAAGCUCAAUUUCCUGACCCUGUCUAUAAACCUAUGACCUAUAAACCACCUAUAAAAACUAAUUACAACCAGAUUAAGCUUCUUUUUGUCCUUUCUCUGCCUCUGUGGUGGAGUGUUUCCCAUGUGGUAUUGGUGUGCUGGAUAUCCCUUCACUGGUAGCCUGGUAACAUACACUCCCAGGUCUUUCUCUGUGGUGGAUAGUGGAGUGUUUCCCAUGUGGUAUUGGUGUGCUGGAUAUCCCUUCACUGGUAGCCUGGUAACAUACACUCCCAGGUCUUUCUCUGCCUCUGUGGUGGAUAGUGGAGUGUUUCCCAUGUGGUAUUGGUGUGCUGGAUAUCCCUUCACUGGUAGCCUGGUAACAUACACUCCCAGGUCUUUCUCUGCCUCUGUGGUGGAUAGUGGAGUGUUUCCCAUGUGGUAUUGGUGUGCUGGAUAUCCCUUCACUGGUAGCCUGGUAACAUACACUACCAGGUCUUUCUCUGCCUCUGUGGUGGAUAGUGGAGUGUUUCCCAUGUGGUAUUGGUGUGCUGGAUAUCCCUUCACUGGUAGCCUGGUAACAUACACUCCCAGGUCUUUCUCUGCCUCUGUGGUGGAUAGUGGAGUGUUUCCCAUGUGGUAUUGGUGUGCUGGAUAUCCCUUCACUGGUAGCCUGGUAACAUACACUCCCAGGUCUUUCUCUGCCUCUGUGGUGGAUAGUGGAGUGUUUCCCAUGUGGUAUUGGUGUGCUGGAUAUCCCUUCACUGGUAGCCUGGUAACAUACACUCCCAGGUCUUUCUCUGCCUCUGUGGUGGAUAGUGGAGUGUUUCCCAUGUGGUAUUGGUGUGCUGGAUAUCCUCUCCCAAGGUGUAGGACUUUACAUUUUUCUUCAUUUAAUUGUAGCAUUGAAUUGGUGAGGUCAUCUUGUAGGAAAUCCACAUUCAAGGGGUUUAGAACAUUGCCGUAAGUCGACUAAUGGCUCCGAUCGAAUGAAAGAUGAAGAACUUUUUAAAUUUAUUAUCAAACAAUCCAGCACAAAACCUUAUGAGUCAUUAAUGCAACGAGAGAAACUGUUAUGGAGGAGGAACAACGCAGGGAAACUAAUAAUAGUCUUUAUAAUCACAAAACACAAGACAAACAAGUAAUGGUAUUCAAAUAUUAGGUCAGCAAAAAUGUCAAUACAAGCCGUCACUUUUGGGCAAUAUCCUUUACGCUUAACCUUUGCAGUUCAAUGUUAUUUUGCUCAUCAACACCCUGACCCAGUAACACAGCCUUCCUUCCUUCCUCUGUACACAUUCUGGACUUCAUGAACUUCUCUCAUUCAGGAGUCCGACACAUGUCAAUAACUUGGUUUGGACAGCCUCCACGAAAGUCUGUCCGUGUGUCUGAUCAUCCCCAGAGACGGGAGUUGCUCAGAGAAGUAAGCAUCACACACAAAGCCCUCCUUGGCACCAGUGGGAUGUGUGGGAUAUGAAGUGUAUCCCAGCACAACAGCAGUACAUUGGGAUUGGGGUUGCUGUCCCACGAAACAUGAGCACUUUUUGUUAGGCCGAGGUGUGGUCACAAUCCCACCUUCCCGUCAAAUGCAAUGUCAUCAAAUAUGCAUGUAAGAUGAGCGAGAGAGAGCUGCUUCCUCAUAACAAAGACUGAUAAAAAUGAACUUGUUAAUAUUAAUUUUUAUGCCUCGCCCAAUCCCUCAGAGUGAUUGCUUUACACAUCUGCCGUACACACCCACGUAAAAGUCGACAUUUUGAAACAACUCUUUAACCCCUUCACUACGGCCGAGCCAAAACAGUGCCCCGCGCCGUAUCCGAGAUCGCCGUGCGUGCCAAAUUUCAAAUGUCGCUAUUGAAUAUAACAAGUUUUCAGCCAUAAACUCAACAUAAUCAUCAUGUAUUGUAUAUGAAAACAUGCUGAAUUAAAUGAUGCACUUAAAGAAACUCACUACGGGUGGCCCAAAACAGUGCUCCGUGCCGUAUCCGAGAUCGCCGUGCGUGCCAAAUUUCAAAUGUCGCUAUUGAAUAUAACAAGUUUUCAGCCAUAAACUCAACAUAAUCAUCAUGUAUUAUAUAUGAAAACAUGCUGAAUUAAAUGAUGCACAUAAAGAAACUUACUACGGCCGGGCCAAAACAGUGCCCCGCGCCGUAUCCGAGAUUGCCGUGCGCGCCAAAUUUCAAAUGUCGCUAUUGAAUAUAACAAGUUUUCAGCCAUAAACUCAACAUAAUCAUCAUGUAUUGUAUAUGAAAACAUACUGAAUAUAAGUACAAAUACAUCACUCCACAGGGAUAUCACAAACCAAUACAACCCCACACUCAAGACCCCACUGCCUGGCCUGUCAGCUGUACGCACAUCCAGUAAACUCCUUAAGUAACUACAAUAUUUCCCUGUACAGCACCGUUGCCAGGUUAUCGUACUCGGAGCGUCACCCAUCCCUGCUUCUCACCCUUUAAAUAUCACCAGGAAACAAGUAUAAUUAACCAUUUCAACCAUAACAACAUAAAAAGGGAGUUAUAGGGCACAGGAGACAGCUUUUGGGUUGGAAAUCAGGAAAUAUGAGAAACUGAUUACGAGUCUGGCAAUGUUGCUCGACAGUAAACUUUGCAAUCAAUGAAACACAGAUUUGUUGAGCCAUUUGUGUAAUCAUUGUUUUUGUUUACGUUAUGACCUGAUAAAACAGUAUCCAUUUCAACAAGUGGAUUUUCCUUUCAUAAAACAAUGCAAAUAACUGUUAAUCUUUUUAUUUUGAUGCAAUACCUUGUGCUCCUCGACUUAUUAUGUGACAAGAGAUGAUGGCGCCACUAUAAACACCUGCCCGCACCAAUACGAGAUGGGGCCGACUACCAUCCAGGCCCCUCAAGGAAGCCUACUGGUGCGAUAGGCUUAGACGUAGAAAAAAAUAAAUAAA